UUGUAGCGUGGGCUUGUAACCCAAGUGGGGGCAAUAAUGUGGUGGAAUAUUGUGCUGAUCCUGAUGGCUGGGCUUUGGGUAGCUAAUAUCUGGCCUGCCCUAUCCAAGCAUGGAGUUGAGUCAUGUGGCCCAUACGUAAGUAUGGACCGCUUGACUCCUAGAGUGGGGCGGAUUGCGUGAGGCUGGUUUCACAGAGCAACGAACAGCUCCCAUUUCUUGCAGUGGAAGGAUUACGGACCAGUGCUCUCCAAUCCAACAAAAACCUGAUGGGCUGCUCCAAUUAAACCACCACUUUUUUUUUUGGGAUUUUUUACCAUAUAGCAAACUUUAUUACCACCUUUUAAUUUAUGUAUCAAAAUUCUAUUUAAGGUUUAAUUAUCAACUUAUUAAUUAUAGGCUUGAUUUGUGGAACUGAAAAUCUUUUCAGAUAUUAUUAAAGCUACAAAAAAAUCCAAUUUUCAGACAUAUUUAUUAAAACUACAAUUAACUACAAAUUGACUACAAUUAACUACAAACUGACUACAAGUAACUACAAACUUACUACAAUUAAAUCAAAACUGACUACAAGUAACUACAAACGGACACAAUUAACUACAAACAAUUAACUAUAAACUGAAUACAAAUAACUACAAAAUAUGUAUAAGUUCGUGUUCAUUUGGAGCGUGAAGAAAAAGGUAAAAACUUUCCUUCUAAUUUUCUUCAAUUGUGCUGGAUUUAUUUUGAUUAAUCUUUGUUGUUUCUGUUCCUAGUUUAUACUAGAAAGGCUUGUUGAAUCCUAGGGGAUAUACCUAAUUUUAUAUAUCACUGUGUGAGCGAAAUAUCUUUAAGGACAGUGUCCUUGACACGCCUCAAGCUAAACAUUUUAUUCUCCAUAAUUCUUCAAAAUUUUCCAACACAUAAUGUAGACGAAAUUCCAACAUUAGACUUAGAUCAGCAAUAGUAAGAGUGUAUAGUCGUCGAACUUUUUAGACCUUUACGUAAAAGAUUUUAGCGAGUAAUAAAUUCAUUUUACCUUUCAUCAAGUUCUCGAAAUUAAGGUAUUAAGAUGCACGAAUUGCUCAUUAUUCAAUUUUGAUUUAGUUCUCUCGAAAUAUGCUUUAAAAUGCACGGUCUGCGUAUAUUUUCCCCAACUAAAAAAAAUUUCUUAUGUCGAAAAGGAAAAGGACAGGAUUAAAGAGAAAAGUUGUAUAAUAGAGUUUGAUAAUCAUUUUUGUAGACAUUUCAAUUGUAUUUUACUGUAGCACUUUCUACGCAUGAAAGAUAUCCAAGUGUUCAACAAAUAUUAUCAAUAGAUUUGGCUUUGAUUAUUCUUCGUAAUUAACUAAUAAACUAAUCAUUUUUCACGUUGAAAGCUACACCCUAAAAUUACUCAUGUCACUAAACAAGUAUCCAUCUCCCACAUCGUUUCUUAUAGCUGACUUAUUGAUGUUUAUACUUGGAAAUGACAUAGAUUCUGUCGCCGAGCCUUGUAGCGUGGGCUUGUAACCCAAGUGGGGGCAAUAAUGUGGUGGAAUAUUGUGCUGAUCCUGAUGGCUGGGCUUUGGGUAGCUAAUAUCUGGCCUGCCCUAUCCAAGCAUGGAGUUGAGUCAUGUGGCCCAUACGUAAGUAUGGGCUGCUUGACUCCUAGAGUGGGGCGGAUUGCGUGAGGCUGGUUUCACAGAGCAACGAACAGCUCCCAUUUCUUGCAGUGGAAGGAUAACGGACCAGUGCUCUCCAAUCCAACAAAAACCUGAUGGGCUGCUCCAAUUAAACCACCACUUUUUUUUUUGGGAUUUUUUACCAUAUAGCAAACUUUAUUACCACCUUUUAAUUUAUGUAUCAAAAUUCUAUUUAAGGUUUAAUUA
Molecule: long non-coding RNA, 1844 nt
Filed under: Nicotiana benthamiana
Lineage: Eukaryota; Viridiplantae; Streptophyta; Magnoliopsida; Solanales; Solanaceae
Description: long non-coding RNA (NBEN_LNC033327)
Rfam family: Plant signal recognition particle RNA (bases 1459-1762)
Source: RNAcentral